Molecule: long non-coding RNA, 152 nt
Organism: Bombus impatiens (common eastern bumble bee)
Lineage: Eukaryota; Metazoa; Arthropoda; Insecta; Hymenoptera; Apidae
Exons: 3
Source: RefSeq, a predicted model, not a curated record
GCCGCUAUAUUACAGGUGGUAAGUAGAAAAGCAACGAUAGCACAAGAAUAGCAUUUGAAAAAAUAUUUGCCUUACUUGAUAAUCUGUUCCUUUGCCAUUUAGGACCAGAAAAGUAUCCAAUUUCCUCGGGAUUUACUAUUUUAUAUAGUUUA